CCUGGCUCAGAUUGAACGCUGGCGGCAUGCCUUACACAUGCAAGUCGAACGGCAGCGGACCUUCGGGUGCCGGCGAGUGGCGAACGGUGAGUAAUAUAUCGGAACGUACCUUUCAGUGGGGGUAACGUAGCGAAAGUUACGCUAAUACCGCAUAUUCUGUGAGCAGGAAAGCAGGGGAUCGCAAGACCUUGCGCUGAUUGAGCGGCCGAUAUCAGAUUAGCUAGUUGGUGAGGUAAAGGCUCACCAAGGCGACGAUCUGUAGCGGGUCUGAGAGGAUGAUCCGCCACACUGGAACUGAGACACGGUCCAGACUCCUACGGGAGGCAGCAGUGGGGAAUUUUGGACAAUGGGCGCAAGCCUGAUCCAGCCAUGCCGCGUGAGUGAAGAAGGCCUUCGGGUUGUAAAGCUCUUUCGGCCGGGAAGAAAUCGCACAGGUUAAUACCCUGUGUGGAUGACGGUACCGGAAUAAGAAGCACCGGCUAACUACGUG
This 490-nucleotide ribosomal RNA is filed under the name uncultured bacterium. RNAcentral describes it as "bacterial SSU rRNA". It matches the Rfam family "Bacterial small subunit ribosomal RNA", at positions 18 to 507 of the family's 1533-position model. The record is from RNAcentral.